This 492-nucleotide ribosomal RNA is filed under the name uncultured bacterium. RNAcentral describes it as "partial 16S ribosomal RNA". It matches the Rfam family "Bacterial small subunit ribosomal RNA", at positions 29 to 507 of the family's 1533-position model. The record is from RNAcentral.
AGUGAACGCUGGCGGUAGGUCUAACACAUGCAAGUCGAACGGCAGCACAGUAAGAGCUUGCUCUUACGGGUGGCGAGUGGCGGACGGGUGAGGAAUACAUCGGAAUCUACUUUUUCGUGGGGGAUAACGUAGGGAAACUUACGCUAAUACCGCAUACGACCUACGGGUGAAAGCAGGGGAUCUUCGGACCUUGCGCGAUUGAAUGAGCCGAUGUCGGAUUAGCUAGUUGGCGGGGUAAAGGCCCACCAAGGCGACGAUCCGUAGCUGGUCUGAGAGGAUGAUCAGCCACACUGGAGCUGAGACACGGUCCAGACUCCUACGGGAGGCAGCAGUGGGGAAUAUUGGACAAUGGGCGCAAGCCUGAUCCAGCCAUACCGCGUGGGUGAAGAAGGCCUUCGGGUUGUAAAGCCCUUUUGUUGGGAAAGAAAAGCAGCAGGUUAAUACCCCGCUGUUCUGACGGUACCCAAAGAAUAAGCACCGGCUAACUUCGUG